UGGGGAAUCUUAGACAAUGGGGGCAACCCUGAUCUAGCCAUGCCGCGUGAGUGACGAAGGUCUUAGGAUCGUAAAGCUCUUUCGCCGGGGAAGAUAAUGACGGUACCCGGUGAAGAAGUCCCGGCUAACUCCGUGCCAGCAGCCGCGGUAAUACGGAGGGGACUAGCGUUGUUCGGAAUUACUGGGCGUAAAGCGCGCGUAGGCGGGUCAUUAAGUCAGGGGUGAAAUCCCGGGGCUCAACCUCGGAAUUGCCUCUGAUACUGGUGGCCUUGAGUCCGUGAGAGGUGAGUGGAACUCCGAGUGUAGAGGUGAAAUUCGUAGAUAUUCGGAAGAACACCAGUGGCGAAGGCGGCUCACUGGCACGGUACUGACGCUGAGGUGCGAAAGCGUGGGGAGCAAACAGGAUUAGAUACCCCUGUAGUCC
This 424-nucleotide ribosomal RNA is filed under the name uncultured prokaryote. RNAcentral describes it as "bacterial SSU rRNA". It matches the Rfam family "Bacterial small subunit ribosomal RNA", at positions 355 to 796 of the family's 1533-position model. The record is from RNAcentral.